CAGAAUGUGGCUGAGUAGCCAAGCAUCUCAUUUACACCGAGAAGACACCCAUGCAAAUUGGGUCGCUCUGA
This 71-nucleotide transfer RNA is filed under the name Electrophorus voltai. RNAcentral's name for it is "tRNA-Val". It matches the Rfam family "tRNA". Rfam says of the family: Transfer RNA (tRNA) molecules are approximately 80 nucleotides in length. Their secondary structure includes four short double-helical elements and three loops (D, anti-codon, and T loops). Further hydrogen bonds mediate the characteristic L-shaped molecular structure. tRNAs have two regions of fundamental functional importance: the anti-codon, which is responsible for specific mRNA codon recognition, and the 3' end, to which the tRNAs corresponding amino acid is attached (by aminoacyl-tRNA synthetases). tRNAs cope with the degeneracy of the genetic code in two manners: having more than one tRNA (with a specific anti-codon) for a particular amino acid; and 'wobble' base-pairing, i.e. permitting non-standard base-pairing at the 3rd anti-codon position. The record is from RNAcentral. Lineage: Eukaryota; Metazoa; Chordata; Actinopteri; Gymnotiformes; Gymnotidae.